AAGCAUCCUCAUUCGAUAUGCCACAACAUCUGGGAAAAGCAACAUCCUUAUAGAUGCAGGAAAAUUCUUCUACCACAGUGCUCUUCGAUGGUUUCCAGCCUAUGGGUUAGUUAUUAUCUUGUUUAGUGAUUAUUUAUUAUUUCAUUUUAAUUUAGUGGUGUAAUUUUCUGCUGGUCACACUAGCUAUCUGAGGGUCACAAUAUAUGUAUAUGUAGUGGUUACAUUUAUGAAAUGUCAAAUUCGCAUUGUGCAAAUAGCAAAACUAUCAUUGACUGUCCUUUU
Molecule: long non-coding RNA, 282 nt
Organism: Cannabis sativa
Lineage: Eukaryota; Viridiplantae; Streptophyta; Magnoliopsida; Rosales; Cannabaceae
Exons: 2
Source: RefSeq, a predicted model, not a curated record